RNAcentral lists this ribosomal RNA (265 nucleotides) under uncultured archaeon. RNAcentral's name for it is "partial 16S ribosomal RNA". It matches the Rfam family "Archaeal small subunit ribosomal RNA", at positions 718 to 982 of the family's 1478-position model. The record is from RNAcentral.
AGUCACUGACAUUAGAUACCCCGGUAGUCCCAGCCGUAAACGAUGCGCGUUAGGUGUAUCGACGACCACGAGUCGUCGAGGUGCCGAAGGGAAACCGUGAAACGUGCCGCCUGGGAAGUACGGUCGCAAGGCUGAAACUUAAAGGAAUUGGCGGGGGAGCACCGCAACGGGAGGAGCGUGCGGUUUAAUUGGAUUCAACACCGUAAAACUCACCAGGGAAGACUGUUACAUGAAGGCCGAGAUGAAGACUCUGCUAGAUUUUCAG